Molecule: ribosomal RNA, 465 nt
Filed under: Vreelandella stevensii
Lineage: Bacteria; Pseudomonadati; Pseudomonadota; Gammaproteobacteria; Oceanospirillales; Halomonadaceae
Description: partial 16S ribosomal RNA
Rfam family: Bacterial small subunit ribosomal RNA
Source: RNAcentral
CCUACGGGCGGCAGCAGUGGGGAAUAUUGGACAAUGGGCGAAAGCCUGAUCCAGCCAUGCCGCGUGUGUGAAGAAGGCCUUCGGGUUGUAAAGCACUUUCAGUGGGGAAGAAAGCCUUGGGGCUAAUACCCUCGAGGAAGGACAUCACCCACAGAAGAAGCACCGGCUAACUCCGUGCCAGCAGCCGCGGUAAUACGGAGGGUGCGGGCGUUAAUCGGAAUUACUGGGCGUAAAGCGCGCGUAGGCGGUCUGAUAAGCCGGUUGUGAAAGCCCCGGGCUCAACCUGGGAACGGCAUCCGGAACUGUCAGGCUAGAGUGCAGGAGAGGAAGGUAGAAUUCCCGGUGUAGCGGUGAAAUGCGUAGAGAUCGGGAGGAAUACCAGUGGCGAAGGCGGCCUUCUGGACUGACACUGACGCUGAGGUGCGAAAGCGUGGGUAGCAAACAGGAUUAGAUACCCCGGUAGUC